AUACUUAUACUUUUGAAGGGAAAACAGCCAUCAAAUAAAUGUUAUUGAUUUGUAUCAUUGCCAACACAAGUUGUUCAGCCUGUUGCCUCUUAAUAAGUGGUUAACGGUAUUGAGUAGCUAGUGCAAAGUGGUCCCUGACGUUAAUCAUUUGCUAGUCGGUAACAGCAUUAAUCAUGGUAGCAGGAACAUUAAGGAGGCUUUAGCUUCAAUGUGUCUAACAGACUGUGUACAGAUGGUACAGAUACCAGUUGAGUCUCCUUGUAUCAUGUAUGAAAGCUAUUUGACAGCUGUUUGGCUAUGAGUCUGUUUACAUCCGUCUGUAAGGCGAUAGCCUAGCUACUGGCAUCUACUGACCUACUGCGCGUAAAGAGUACACACACAGAUUGGACUAUGACCAUUUGAGUUAGUUUUAUGAAAAUAGGCUAGUUAAACGUGUACUAAAAUUUGCUUUUUUAUUUUUCAGGAAACAUGGUUGAGACUUGGUCUUCCCAUCAGGUCUGCUUUUGGCUGGAACAGCAUAAUUUAAAAGAGGCUGAACAAACCUUCCUUGAUGACGAAAUUGACGGAGACACUGCUUGGUUUGACUGAGACGAUGGUGGCGCACCUCUUUACCCGCAUGAAGCAACAAAAAUAAUAAUCUCCUAGUAUCCCUACCACCAAACCAAACAACCCCUAUCAACACAACAACAACUGCCUGGCCAACAAAUUAUACACUACCAUCAUUCAGCCCAGAGGUCAGGGAAGCCCUAUUAAAAAAAGACCCAGCGUUUUAUAAGAAGGACAAGUCACACAUCUGGACUGAUCAGCCUUCUUUUUGAUGACAUGACCCGGUAUGCCUGGUAUCCAAACCAUAAAAUGUACAGUGAUGUCCUGGGAACACUAAUAACCCGGCAUCAAUUUCUUAUGGAUGGAAGCCUCUCUGGCUCACUACAGAGUCAGUGAAAGGGGAAGACGUUCAAAUCAUCUGUGAACACAUGAAGGCCAUCAGCGCAGAGCUGGAAAAAAACAGGCCAAAUUUUGAUAAUAUAAAGUGGAGGAUGGAAAGAACUCUUCAUGCACAGACUCCUCUAUACAACACUGCAACCACCACAGAACUGUUUGAACAUUGUCCCUUCCUUAAAGACCCUCUUCUACUAAGCAGUAAAAAAAUCGAUGUAAAUCAAUGCACAUAUUCAGGCAAUGCAGGGGCAUACAAUUGACAUCUUAGAGAGGAUCAUCUUUGACUUUAAAUCGUGUUAUGUUACUUCAGAAUUCUUCUUCUUUUUGUAGCUACUUUAUGAAAUGGAGCUGAGAUUUGGGCAGGAUCUGUGCUCAGCAGUUACCUACACAACACUGCAGAGCAGAUUUUGAGCGUCUCCAAGGGGCCACUUCAGGAUUCAUUAACCCUUAGAACCCUAAGCUGUUUUUGGGGCAUUUUCACUACCUUUAUUCAGAAGGAUUUAUUCUGGUCAUUGUA
This is a long non-coding RNA of Alosa sapidissima (American shad), 1456 nucleotides long. RefSeq lists it as uncharacterized. The record is from RefSeq and is a predicted model, not a curated record. NCBI's taxonomy places the organism in Eukaryota, Metazoa, Chordata, Actinopteri, Clupeiformes, Clupeidae. The transcript is spliced from 5 exons.